Carassius gibelio (silver crucian carp) is the source of this 509-nucleotide long non-coding RNA. RefSeq lists it as uncharacterized. The record is from RefSeq and is a predicted model, not a curated record. NCBI's taxonomy places the organism in Eukaryota, Metazoa, Chordata, Actinopteri, Cypriniformes, Cyprinidae. The transcript is spliced from 3 exons.
AAACACAUAGCUUUCUUCUCAUCUUUGUGCAUUUUCAAACGUUGUGCAUAUUUCUGAAUCAUUUUUUUUUUUUUACUUCAUAAUAUUGGUUGUCUUCUCUUGUUUCAGAGUUUAGCUCCAACCCCAGUUAAGCAGACCUGAGCAGCUGAUCAAGGAUCAGCAGAAACUCUGCAGAACGGUGGUCCUCCAGCCCAGGACUGGACACCAGUGUUAGUGUCUGUCUCAGAAGCUGAAGAAAAAAGGCCACACCUUAUAGGAAAUAAACGCCUCCUAAGUGUAUGGAAAUACCUGGCUGAGGAGAUCAGUGACAUAAACCAGAUAAAACUGUCAGUGGUCUGAGACAGCUACAAGCCACAAAAACAGUUCAUAGUUCCUGCAUUUCUAUAAUGCAUUAAUGAAUAACAAUAAUUAAAAUAAAAUGUAAUGUCAAGGUUUUGUGUUAAUUCCAGCUAUGUUGAGUAUUCUGUGAAUAAUUUUGAUUUUAGGUGCAUAUUCUUAAUUCUUUGCAA